GAUGAACGCUAGCGGCAGGCUUAAUACAUGCAAGUCAAGGGGGUAGCAAUACAACCGGCGCACGGGUGAGUAACGCGUACACAACAUACCAUAUACUGGAGUAUAGCUUUGGGAAACUGAAGGUAAUCCUCCAUAACAUUGCGAGAGGGCAUCUGAUUGCAAUUAAAGUUUCGGCGGUAUAUGAUUGGUGUGCGUUUGAUUAGCUAGUUGGUAGGGUAACGGCCUACCAAGGCGACGAUCAAUAGCUGGCGUGAGAGCGCGACCAGCCACACUGGAACUGAGACACGGUCCAGACUCCUACGGGAGGCAGCAGUAGGGAAUAUUGGACAAUGGAGGAAACUCUGAUCCAGCCAUGCCGCGUGAUAGAUGAAGGCCCUCUGGGUUGUAAAUAUCUUUUAUCUGGGAAGAAACUCCUCUAUUCUUAGAGGCCUGACGGUACCAGAGGAAUAAGCACCGGCUAACUCCGUGCCAGCAGCCGCGGUAA
Molecule: ribosomal RNA, 484 nt
Filed under: uncultured bacterium
Lineage: Bacteria
Description: bacterial SSU rRNA
Rfam family: Bacterial small subunit ribosomal RNA
Source: RNAcentral